This 258-nucleotide ribosomal RNA is filed under the name uncultured bacterium. Its description in RNAcentral is "partial small subunit ribosomal RNA". It matches the Rfam family "Bacterial small subunit ribosomal RNA", at positions 26 to 285 of the family's 1533-position model. The record is from RNAcentral.
AGGACGAACGCUGGCGGCGUGCUUAACACAUGCAAGUCGAGCGGUAAGGCCCUUUCGGGGGUACACGAGCGACGAACGGGUGAGUAACACGUGGGUGACCUGCCCUUAGCUCUGGGAUAAGCCUGGGAAACUGGGUCUAAUACCGGAUAUGACCUCAUGACGCAUGUUGUGGGGUGGAAAGCCUUGUGCGGCUAGGGAUGGGCCCGCGGCCUAUCAGCUUGUUGGUGGGGUGAUGGCCUACCAAGGCGACGACGGGUA